This is a long non-coding RNA of Paramisgurnus dabryanus, 890 nucleotides long. RefSeq lists it as uncharacterized. NCBI's taxonomy places the organism in Eukaryota, Metazoa, Chordata, Actinopteri, Cypriniformes, Cobitidae. The record is from RefSeq and is a predicted model, not a curated record.
CGCGUCCUGGUUUAACCGAUAUUCUCAUCAAACGAGUGUUCCGUUUCUGUGGUAGAUUCUAAGGGAAAAUGUUUUGUGAAAAAUAAGCAUAGAGUGACGUCACUUAGUGGCCGCGUAAACUCUCGUACUGCUGCUGCAUGUGACUGGAGAGAGUCAGGAGCAGGCUCAUUAAAAGUGAUUGCAAGCGGUCUUAAAAACUUGUUGAAUUGUGUAGGAGCACAACUCCAACAGCCCUUCCUCUCGGCCAAGGCUUAUGGGAACAGGUUCUAGUGGACCUGCUGGUUUCAUACAUACAUACAGGGAACAAUGCAACCUCUGGAACAUCAAGUGGAUGUCCUGGAAUAAAUACAGGGGCAAAUAAGCCAGUGUCAACAGUGAAAUGCAAAGAAUGUACAGAAAAACUUCAACAACUGGUUAACUUCUGGAUUGGAUGGAAGCUUUCCUCAGCUGGCCUGAAAGUUAAAGUGGUCCGUGCUGAUCAACAUGUUUAUAAAUGCUCAGAUUGCCCCCGUUCACUACAGAACAUUUCAAGAGUUUUCUAUGGACCUGGAGGCCUGAUUUGCAACAUGUGACGCUGGGUUUAUCUAUAGGGGACAAUCUGUGCCAAAUAAAUUGGCUUAAUGCUGUGUACACACCAAACGUGAAGCACAUAUUUACAUCAUGUUCCUCGCUCUAGAUUACUCACAGGAUUAAACUUUUUUAUCAUAUUUUUAAUAUUGACUGAGAUCAUGUCAAAGAUUGAAAUCAAAUAUGUUAUUGUACAAUUAACAUAAGCCUACCUGAAAAGUUACAUUUGGGCUUUAGGGAAACGUAUACAAACAGAAUGGAUGCUUUUAAAUAACAACAGCAAUGCAAAAUACAAUAUUUUAUUUACCAAAAUCAACAAUGCA